GCGGUAGUAGCUCAGAGGAAGAGCGUCAGCUUCCCAAGCUGAGUGUCGCGGGUUCGAGUCCCGUCUACCGCU
RNAcentral lists this transfer RNA (72 nucleotides) under bacterium. RNAcentral describes it as "tRNA-Gly". It matches the Rfam family "tRNA". From Rfam's summary of the family: Transfer RNA (tRNA) molecules are approximately 80 nucleotides in length. Their secondary structure includes four short double-helical elements and three loops (D, anti-codon, and T loops). RNAcentral also lists the same sequence under 1 other name. The record is from RNAcentral.